This 185-nucleotide non-coding RNA is filed under the name Peptococcaceae bacterium. RNAcentral describes it as "6S RNA". It matches the Rfam family "6S / SsrS RNA". From Rfam's summary of the family: E. coli 6S RNA was the first non coding RNA to be sequenced, but its function was unknown until recently. It consists of 184 nucleotides that fold into an extended hairpin structure with a large single-stranded internal bulge. The 6S RNA specifically associates with RNA polymerase holoenzyme containing the sigma70 specificity factor. Lineage: Bacteria; Bacillati; Bacillota; Clostridia; Eubacteriales; Peptococcaceae. The record is from RNAcentral.
AAAACCCUGCGAUGCUCGUGCAUUGCCGUCUCGUUUUGAGCCAACAUAGAUUAUACGGGAGCCUGGACUCUGGUUGUGGUUUGCAUGCCUUUCAUUUUAUGUCAGGAGCGAUGAAACAGACAGGAGGGCACCCACCUGCGUGAGCAGGUUCAAAACAGCGGCCCCACGGCAUAGGUGGGGUUUUU